RNAcentral lists this ribosomal RNA (460 nucleotides) under uncultured bacterium. Its description in RNAcentral is "partial 16S ribosomal RNA". It matches the Rfam family "Bacterial small subunit ribosomal RNA", at positions 338 to 795 of the family's 1533-position model. The record is from RNAcentral.
CCUACGGGGGGCUGCAGUGAGGAAUAUUGGUCAAUGGGCUGAAGCCUGAACCAGCCAAGUCGCGUGAGGGAAUACUGCCCUACGGGUCGUAAACCUCUUUUGUCGGGGAGCAAGGGCCGGGACGAGUCCCCGUCCGGAGAGUACCCGGAGAAAAAGCAUCGGCUAACUCCGUGCCAGCAGCCGCGGUAAUACGGAGGAUGCGAGCGUUAUCCGGAUUUAUUGGGUUUAAAGGGUGCGUAGGCGGGGUUUGAAGUCAGCGGUAAAAAUGCGGGGCUCAACCCCGUCCGGCCGUUGAAACUGGGGUGCUUGAGUGGGCGAGAAGAAGGCGGAAUGCGUGGUGUAGCGGUGAAAUGCAUAGAUAUCACGCAGAACUCCGAUUGCGAAGGCAGCCUUCCGGCGCCCUACUGACGCUGAGGCACGAAAGUGCGGGGAUCGAACAGGAUUAGAUACCCCUGUAGUC